Molecule: long non-coding RNA, 395 nt
Organism: Zophobas morio
Lineage: Eukaryota; Metazoa; Arthropoda; Insecta; Coleoptera; Tenebrionidae
Exons: 4
Source: RefSeq, a predicted model, not a curated record
UGUGCCCUUUGGGUUCCACACAAUGUGUAAUAAGGAAAAUGUAAUUAUUUUCAUAACUUUCAACUUUGCGGGGAGAUCAAGUUGUUAUUUUGUUUAAAUAUGGAUCCGGAUUGCCACCAUCCUACAGUUUUUGGAGGCUUGUGUGCCGAAUGUGGCCUUGAUAUAUCGACAUGGAUUUUAAAAACUGCUGCCGACAAAAAAUUAGAUUUUAUAAGGUUACCAGGGACCGAGCUUCACAUAGCAGCCACCGAUGCCAUAGAAAAAGGGAAGCUAGAAAUGGAAAGAUUAAAAAAUUUAAGGAAAUUAGCUUUGAUAGUUGAUUUAGAUCAAACACUAAUUCAUGCUACUACAGUAGAAGAAGCGCCAUAUAUUAGUCAUUGGCUGCGAGAUCCAAA